RNAcentral lists this ribosomal RNA (497 nucleotides) under uncultured bacterium. RNAcentral's name for it is "partial 16S ribosomal RNA". It matches the Rfam family "Bacterial small subunit ribosomal RNA", at positions 28 to 507 of the family's 1533-position model. The record is from RNAcentral.
GACGAACGCUGGCGGCGUGCCUAAUACAUGCAAGUAGAACGCUGAAGAGAGGAGCUUGCUCUUCUUGGAUGAGUUGCGAACGGGUGAGUAACGCGUAGGUAACCUGCCUUGUAGCGGGGGAUAACUAUUGGAAACGAUAGCUAAUACCGCAUAACAAUGGAUGACACAUGUCAUUUAUUUGAAAGGGGCAAUUGCUCCACUACAAGAUGGACCUGCGUUGUAUUAGCUAGUAGGUGAGGUAACGGCUCACCUAGGCGACGAUACAUAGCCGACCUGAGAGGGUGAUCGGCCACACUGGGACUGAGACACGGCCCAGACUCCUACGGGAGGCAGCAGUAGGGAAUCUUCGGCAAUGGGGGCAACCCUGACCGAGCAACGCCGCGUGAGUGAAGAAGGGUUUCGGAUCGUAAAGCUCGGUUGUAAGUCAAGAACGAGUGUGAGAGUGGAAAGUUCACACUGUGACGGUAGCUUACCAGAAAGGGACGGCUAACUACGUG